Molecule: ribosomal RNA, 253 nt
Filed under: uncultured bacterium
Lineage: Bacteria
Description: partial 16S ribosomal RNA
Rfam family: Bacterial small subunit ribosomal RNA
Source: RNAcentral
UACGGGGGGGGCAAGCGUUGUUCGGAAUUACUGGGCGUAAAGGGCUCGUAGGUGGCCAACUAAGUCAGACGUGAAAUCCCUCGGCUUAACCGGGGAACUGCGUCUGAUACUGGAUGGCUUGAGUUUGGGAGAGGGAUGCGGAAUUCCAGGUGUAGCGGUGAAAUGCGUAGAUAUCGGGAGGAACACCAGUGGCGAAGGCGACUACCUGGCCUGUUCUUGACGCUGAGGCGCGAAAGCUAGGGGAGCAAACGGG